RNAcentral lists this ribosomal RNA (403 nucleotides) under uncultured bacterium. Its description in RNAcentral is "bacterial SSU rRNA". It matches the Rfam family "Bacterial small subunit ribosomal RNA", at positions 355 to 775 of the family's 1533-position model. The record is from RNAcentral.
UGGGGAAUAUUGGACAAUGGGCGAAAGCCUGAUCCAGCCAUGCCGCGUGAGUGAUGAAGGCCCUAGGGUUGUAAAGCUCUUUUGUGCGGGAAGAUAAUGACGGUACCGCAAGAAUAAGCCCCGGCUAACUUCGUGCCAGCAGCCGCGGUAAUACGAAGGGGGCUAGCGUUGCUCGGAAUCACUGGGCGUAAAGGGUGCGUAGGCGGGUUUCUAAGACAGAGGUGAAAGCCUGGAGCUCAACUCCAGAACUGCCUUUGAUACUGGAAGUCUUGAGUAUGGCAGAGGUGAGUGGAACUGCGAGUGUAGAGGUGAAAUUCGUAGAUAUUCGCAAGAACACCAGUGGCGAAGGCGGCUCACUGGGCCAUUACUGACGCUGAGGCACGAAAGCGUGGGGAGCAAACAG